GUUUUUAUAGUGUAUAAAACAUUUUACUUUUUCGUUGUAAAGCUGAAAUAUAAUGAUUUCUAAAAACA
This 68-nucleotide transfer RNA is filed under the name Neilupotamon xinganense. Its description in RNAcentral is "tRNA-Glu". Lineage: Eukaryota; Metazoa; Arthropoda; Malacostraca; Decapoda; Potamidae. The record is from RNAcentral.